GUUGACCUCAGAUCAGGUAGGAAUACCCGCUGAACUUAAG
Molecule: ribosomal RNA, 40 nt
Filed under: Clonostachys sp. CZ-g-09
Lineage: Eukaryota; Fungi; Ascomycota; Sordariomycetes; Hypocreales; Bionectriaceae
Description: partial 28S ribosomal RNA
Source: RNAcentral